CAUGCGUACUGAGAGGGAUAUCCGGAAUGAAAUGGUUCUCCAUGAGAGCCACAAGCGAACAUUCAACAACUUGAAAACUGGAUUGAAAAUGAGAGACAGAGCAGCCACUGCAGAAGCUUCCAAAAUCACUCUGCACUUUCUUGAACUGCUGCAAUCCACGUGGUGAUGUAGCUCCCAUGUUGCAAAUUGGAUGCUGUUCAGUUUCUGUCAACGUUCUGAGUCCUCGAAUUUCAACAGGACUGCCACUUCCAUACUAUCUUCAGAGCUUCUCUACCCCACCGUCAGCUCACAGCUGGGUCAGUGUCUUGUUGUUAUUGCAGCAAGUCCGUGAGGGUCUCCAAAAACGAACUUGACAUUUGGCGCAAGAGCAGGGUUCCAACAUGUACAGCAGUCUCACCUGGAGGGCUGAAUAAGUGAUCGUUCGAGUGUCAGUGGAGUCAGACAGAUGGGCCCGCAAGAUGUAUUCAGUAGGUGGAUAGAGGCUUUCCCAAAGACAAACAACAAAGCCUCAACACUAGUAAAACUGUUAUUAACUGAAAUAGUACCAAGGUUUGGAGUACCGCGACAAAUUAGUUCGGAAGACGGCUCUCACAUUGUGGGGAAAAUUAAUAAGGAACUGUGUGGUACAUUACACAUCCAACAACGAUUCCACUGUGCCUACCACCCUCGGGCAGCAGGGAUAGUAGAGAGAGCUAAUGCAACACUUAAAACCAAACUCACCAAGUUGACACCCGAAACCGGCCUUAAUUGGUUAAAGGUUUUGCCACGAGCCUUGUAUCACAUGCGAAUAACACCCCACUCUACUACUGGGCUCUCAGCAGCGGGAAUAGUCUAUGACUGACCCAGCAGAACAACAUGGGAUGCCAAUACCAGCCCACCCAGCAAAACAGACCUAAAUGUGAUGGGAGAAGAAAUGCGAAGACACUUCUGACAACUAACAUCAUCUUGAAAGUUUCUCCAUUUGCCGGUGAAGUGCGCCUUCGGACCACCUCCGCAGACACCGGAACAAGGCCUCGAGAUUCAGGAUCGAUCAUCAUGGCCGCAGAUUGGAGAUUUUGUACUUGUCCGGGACUGGGGUCGCCCCAAGGUGGAAAGGACCGUACCAAGUGUUUCUUCAGACUCCGACAGCUCUUAAAGUUAAAGGACAGAAUCGCUGGAUCCACUUAAGUGACUCUAAAUGAUGGAUUUCCUCAUCGGCAUGCAGUUAACCAUUGGACUGAGUAUUAGUCUGACCAUGCAUGGCCAGCAGGACAAUUUUGUUUUAUAAAACACACAUACGGCUGCACGGGAAUCGGACAGCAUGUUACCCGUUGGCACGAUCUGUAGAAGCAUUAUUUGUGGCAACAUCUGCCUGGAACCCUAGUCAGCUUUAUGAAAUAGAGUAUUCCGGUAAGCCUUGCUGAAGGGAGAGGGGAUCUUGGACACAGGUGUGCAGGGUACAUGUGUGAAACUGGUAGUUAGUGGUCUCUCUGGUUGUGUGGACACUCGACCUGGGCAUGGGAAGGAAGGGGCUAGCUGUACAAAUCCCAACAGCUAUCUGUUUUGCUUUAAUGGAACUGGAACUUGUUGCGUGCCUGCUCUCGUUACUCAUCACCCCCAAAAUACUUCCUGGCCCCAUCGGUGCAUAAAGAGAAAUUGCACCACUAUAGGAGAAUUGUUGAAUUGCCCCUGCUUAGAAUCUAAGCCCAUAUCUGUGACCCCGGGCAUACAGUAGAGUUGUGGGGAUUGCAAUGGCACUCAUGUAGAAACAGACUAUGGGUCAUUUCCAUUUAACUCCGCAAGUUUCCAUCCACGUAAGGAUCAGUCCUCCUGGCACAGCUAUCAAGAAAUACGUGAGUCUGUUUGCCUUCUUAACGAGACCUUCACUGCUACCACUCCAACUCUGCCAGUGCUGUUUGCUGUUGGGACCAUUGAGCCCCUCACUGUCCCUUGUCCCCAACAAGUACAAAUUCAAUGGCGAAUUGUCACACGAUUCCUGAGCUGGGGGUUUUGCGCUGCAUGGCAGAAUCCAGUUGUGUUGGGCUCUUCCUUAGGAUAUGGUUUCCUGGGACUGUCGGCUUGGGAUGCUCUCCUGGGGUGGUGGCCACAAAGGAAAAUUCGAAAUUACCUUGUAUGUUGACUCACCGCCCUGGGAAACAGCACAAUGACGGCAUUGGAGGCAGUCAACCAAGAAUUAGCCGAACUUUGGCUCUAUGAUCAGCAAACCCAAUAUGCAGUGGACUAUCAGCUGGCUCAGCAAGGAGGUGUAUGCACUAUUAAUGGGGACAAGUGCAUUACCCACGUCACCAACGAGUCCUAUAACAUUACCCAGGCUAUCCAAGCCAUACAGGGGCAGUUGGAACAGUACAGUGAGGGAGUCCAGCCUGGACAGGGUUUGUUGGGAUGGCUUCUGGGUGGUUCUUGGGGUUCAUAUUUGCUGCAUGGGUCAGUUGUUCUAGUGGUUGACAUAGCUGCCUGCUGUACAUUUAUGGCAUGCAUGAGCCCUUGCUGCAGAUUUGUGUUUGACAGGUUAGCAGCUCUCCUCUCGGCCCUGUUAUAAGUUAUCAUGAAAUGAUAGAAGGAGGGAAUGAGCUGUUAAUGUGAUAACAUCUCAUUGAUUUCUAUACUUCUAUAAAUUAAAGUCUUUGUAUAGGAAUCAAAUGCAGAUAAGAGACUUUAAUCUAUAGAAGUAAACUCUUAUCUACCGAAACAUAGGUAUGCAUGCACUGCCCUGAAGCUUCCUGCCCAGCUAGGAAUUCAGUGUAAAGCUUUUGUAACUCCUUUUCUUCUCACACAUCGGUAUGCAGACACUGUCUUAAGCUUCCUGACUGAAUUAAAAUUAGAACCAAACUGUUUCAAAUAGGGUUAGGUGGGGAAAAUUUGUAAAGGUAUGAAACCUCUGAAGCAUGUAACUCCUGUCGCUGGCAACGGGGCCAGGGCACUGAUUUGGUUCUAGCCAGACACACUGGCAACUUGAAAUCAGAAUCUGUCCCGGACAGCAACUUGAAAUCGCCUCUUGCCAUUAGCAGCUACUUCACAAGCAAUCGCUACUGUAUCCUGGUCUUUUAUGUUGUUGAUGUAAUAAUUGCUUGGUAUCCUGUUUUUGUCUGUUUGUAGUAAUUGUUUUAUGUAUCGUGUCAUGGUAAAUUGUGAAAUCGUUUUCUGUAUCAUGUCUUUUGUAAAGUAUAAAAAGCGGGGACUGUCCGCUGCUCGGGGAGAAUUGCUUGCGAGACUCUGCACUCUGUGCUGGGUAACUACAGUGAUUCUCCACAGCUUGUACUUGCUUGGUAACAAAGGGAUUUGUGUUUUUUUCUAAACAGGUCACUGUCUUGUUAUUGCAGCAAGUCUGUGAGGGUCUCCGAAAACAAAAUUGACAUGUGACACAGAAAUAAGAGGAGGCCAUUCAGCCUUUCG
Stegostoma tigrinum is the source of this 3393-nucleotide long non-coding RNA. RefSeq lists it as uncharacterized. The transcript has 5 exons. The record is from RefSeq and is a predicted model, not a curated record. NCBI's taxonomy places the organism in Eukaryota, Metazoa, Chordata, Chondrichthyes, Orectolobiformes, Stegostomatidae.